RNAcentral lists this ribosomal RNA (256 nucleotides) under uncultured bacterium. Its description in RNAcentral is "partial 16S ribosomal RNA". It matches the Rfam family "Bacterial small subunit ribosomal RNA", at positions 524 to 776 of the family's 1533-position model. The record is from RNAcentral.
UACGUAGGUGGCAAGCGUUACUCGGAAUCACUAGCGUAAAGCGCAGGUAGGCGGUUUGGUAAGUCUUUUUGUGAAAGCUCCCGGCUCAAACUGGGAGAGGUCAAAGGAAACUACUAGGCUAGAGUGUGGUAGGGGAUACUGGAAGUUCCUGGUGUAGCGGUGAAAUGACGUAGAUAUCAGGAGGAAUACCUAUGGCGAAAGCAGGUAUCUGGGCCAUCACUGACGCUGAGCUGCGAAAGCUAGGGGAGCAAACAGG